AGAGAGAGAGAGAGAGAGAUGUUGUGUUUCACUGCCCCCCUACAAUUCAUUUAGUCUCUAGGCAUGUCUGAUGUUAGCACCUAUCUUCUAGUGUGGAUUUUUGUUUCCCAAUGAAGUGUAUGCGUGCAGAUUCUCCUACUCUGUUGCAUAUUUCAACAUUGAUGAUGAACUAUCAUGGAGAGUUCUGUGUUAGUUAUUAACAGUUCUAUUGUGGAGUACAGCGUAACCCAAUUUGUAGAUGACCUUUUCAGUUUUUCUUACAAGUUGUAACCUUCCAAGUAUCCAUAUUAUAUGGUUGCUGGUUAUAAGCCUUUCUGAAUUCGUCUUUUGCAAAAUCUUGUAAGGGCAUAAGAAACCCAUCCAUUGAUGAUUUGUUCUUUUAUCUUUGACAAAUAUUUGUGUCAAAAUUUGUUUUGUUUCUAUCAAAUGCUCAUAAUUUCUUUCAGCUGAUCUAACUUGACAGUUGACACUAAUUUUUAUUAUGGAUAUCUCAAUGCCUUUGUAUGAAUUCUUAAAACUUUUUAUUCAGUAGGCUGGUAUUGCAUCUGCUAUUUCUGUUGACGGUCUAAAUAGAUUGGGGGUGAAGCAUGCAGCUAGAUGAAGCAUUGGAUUGAAGUUUGAUCCAUGCUUGGAGAUCAUACGUUUUCAAUAAUUAAAGAUGUGAUUUUGUUGUAAGAUGAUGUGUUUUCGCUGCAGGAGCAAUUUUCUUUGUGUCCAGUCGAUGUGACUACAUGGAAUUUUCCAUUUCAUUACUUCAU
This 758-nucleotide unclassified non-coding RNA is filed under the name Hevea brasiliensis (rubber tree). Lineage: Eukaryota; Viridiplantae; Streptophyta; Magnoliopsida; Malpighiales; Euphorbiaceae. The record is from RNAcentral.